GACGAACGCUGGCGGCGUGCUUAACACAUGCAAGUCGAACGGAAAGGCCCUGCUUUUGUGGGGUUCUCGAGUGGCGAACGGGUGAGUAACACGUGAGUAACCUGCCCUUGACUUUGGGAUAACUUCAGGAAACUGGGGCUAAUACCGGUUAGGAGCUCCUGCUGCAUGGUGGGGGUUGGAAAGUUUCGGCGGUUGGGGAUGGACUCGCGGCUUAUCAGCUUGUUGGUGGGGUAGUGGCUUACCAAGGCUUUGACGGGUAGCCGGCCUGAGAGGGUGACCGGCCACAUUGGGACUGAGAUACGGACCAGACUCCUACGGGAGGCAGCAGGGGGGAAUAUGGCACAAUGGGCGGAAGCCUGAUGCAGAAACGCCGCGUGCGGGAUGACGGCCUUCGGGGUGUAAACCGCUUUCGCCUGAGACGAAGCGUGAGUGACGGUAAUGGGUAAAGAAGCACCGGCUAACUACGUG
This 468-nucleotide ribosomal RNA is filed under the name uncultured bacterium. Its description in RNAcentral is "partial 16S ribosomal RNA". It matches the Rfam family "Bacterial small subunit ribosomal RNA", at positions 28 to 507 of the family's 1533-position model. The record is from RNAcentral.